AGACCGAUAGCGAACAAGUAGAGUGAUCGAAAGAUGAAAAGCACUUUGGAAAGAGAGUUAAAAAGCACGUGAAAUUGUUGAAAGGGAAGCGCUUGCAACCAGACUUCGUGGCGGUGUUCCGCCGGUCUUCUGACCGGUCCACUCGCCGCCGCGAGGCCAGCAUCGUCUGGGGCCGCCGGAUAAGACCUUGGGAAUGUAGCUCGCCUCGGUGAGUAUUAUAGCCCAUGGUGAUACGGCGCGCCCCGGGCGAGGUCCGCGCUUCGGCAAGGAUGCUGGCGUAAUGGUUGUCAGCGGCCCGUCUUGAAACACGGACCAAG
Molecule: ribosomal RNA, 317 nt
Filed under: Lecanosticta acicola
Lineage: Eukaryota; Fungi; Ascomycota; Dothideomycetes; Mycosphaerellales; Mycosphaerellaceae
Description: partial 28S ribosomal RNA
Rfam family: Eukaryotic large subunit ribosomal RNA
Source: RNAcentral